This 117-nucleotide small RNA is filed under the name Salmonella enterica subsp. enterica serovar Heidelberg. RNAcentral describes it as "partial RtT sRNA". It matches the Rfam family "RtT RNA", at positions 1 to 116 of the family's 130-position model. From Rfam's summary of the family: This family represents a bacterial cis-regulatory element known as RtT RNA. The exact function of RtT is unknown although it is thought that it may be involved in changing the cellular response in relation to amino acid starvation. RNAcentral also lists the same sequence under 2 other names. The record is from RNAcentral. Lineage: Bacteria; Pseudomonadati; Pseudomonadota; Gammaproteobacteria; Enterobacterales; Enterobacteriaceae.
AUAUCUCUCUGUACGGGAAGGAUGAGAAGCUUCUACCAGGGUUCGAUUCGAGCGCAGCGAGAAAGCGUUGCCGCAGGCAACGACCCGAAGGGCGAAGCGCGCAGCGCUGAGUCAUCC